AGGAAUGCGAUGAUGAGGCUAGUACUUUGCAUGAGCCAGGCCCAGAGAGUCGGUGGCGGGUGAAAACCGAUCCGGCGUGCAAAGGAAUCCACCUCGGAGUGGCAAAGGUUCAAACUUUGCCCGGAACCGUCCCGUUACGACGGAUGAGAGUGGGCAAAUGCGGAUGGAAACGUACGACGCAUUUGUCAACAAGGGUGGCAACGCGGGUAUACGACACUCGUCCCUUAC
This 228-nucleotide non-coding RNA is filed under the name Bacillus sp. (in: firmicutes). RNAcentral's name for it is "Bacillus sp. T-box sequence". It matches the Rfam family "T-box leader". From Rfam's summary of the family: Uncharged tRNA acts as the effector for transcription antitermination of genes in the T-box leader family. The record is from RNAcentral. Lineage: Bacteria; Bacillati; Bacillota; Bacilli; Caryophanales; Bacillaceae.